AUGCUCUUGACUGUUGACUUCGAGGUCCAGUCGCAGCUGCUUGUCGCUAAGGAUCUGGCAAGAAUUAAUUGGAUUAUAGUCCAUGUCUGGUCAUGCCUUGAAUGGCGAAGGGCCGCCCACAAGGUACUAGGUCCAAUUUCAUGGAAAUGCUACAUCUAUCUACUGCCUACUCCACUUAUUCACAUACAGUUUUUGCUUUUGUUUUCACUUUUCUCGGCAUUUUUAUGUGUCCCUUUUUAUGGCCAGCUUGACAUCAACUCAAAAAGAACAAAGAAUGUUCAGGUCAAUUGUUGGUUUUUUCUACAGUAG
This 309-nucleotide ribosomal RNA is filed under the name Triticum aestivum (bread wheat). Its description in RNAcentral is "partial small subunit ribosomal RNA". Lineage: Eukaryota; Viridiplantae; Streptophyta; Magnoliopsida; Poales; Poaceae. The record is from RNAcentral.